Sorghum bicolor (sorghum) is the source of this 695-nucleotide long non-coding RNA. RefSeq lists it as uncharacterized. The record is from RefSeq and is a predicted model, not a curated record. NCBI's taxonomy places the organism in Eukaryota, Viridiplantae, Streptophyta, Magnoliopsida, Poales, Poaceae. The transcript is spliced from 3 exons.
GUCGUUUCUCAUCUCAUCUUGGCCAUCCCUCCAGGAACUGGCAUGCAGCCGCCAGUCCAUCACAUCGUUGGGCGACUUUAAUUUGUUGCAAGGCCCAGCGAUACUUUGAUGCGGCGACCAGAAGGCAGAAGCAUCCAUCGAUGGCGGAAUCCAUUCUGUCAUUUGGAUCGAUAUGUUCAUAUCAAUCUAAUUCCUUGCGGAUUACAGAUCUACUGACCAUAUCCUCUUACCUUGAGGCGUUUCUCGAGCUGCUCCCCCCUAAUUCAUCUGCUGGCACCGUCCCUAGAUAUGACAGGAAAAGUGUCAUGCAGAUCCGCCUAGGCAUCACAUUUAAUUUCUCUCUGUGAAUAGGAACAUCCGUCGAUGGGAUCUAGGUAGCACACUGCAUCUCUUGGAAGCUACGUUUGCAUUCGCCUAUAUCAUCCACGGGUCCGCGUGUCCAUGGUUCAUUCCUACGACGACCACGAAGCAUUGGGUGCACCGAUGAGGCGAUGACCAAAAAAAAGACGAGAGAUAAAUGCUGGUAAUAAAAUAAUAUACUCGUAAUAAUGUAUGAGACAAUACUCUUGUCAAAAAACUAUAUACAUAUACUAAGCAAACUUCUGUGUAUUUACAUAUACAUAUACAUACACUCAUUUGUCAAAAAACUAUGUACAUAUACUAAGCAAACUUCUGUGUAUCUACAUAUACAUAUA